RNAcentral lists this long non-coding RNA (2477 nucleotides) under Ananas comosus (pineapple). RNAcentral describes it as "long non-coding RNA (ACOM_LNC019589)". The record is from RNAcentral. Lineage: Eukaryota; Viridiplantae; Streptophyta; Magnoliopsida; Poales; Bromeliaceae.
UCAUUUUGCCCUCCUGAAUAAUAUGGUAAUUAUAUUUAAGGUUAAUUUCAUACAGAUUCCUGCAAAUAUAGUGAAUGACAAAUAUAUCUCUACAAAUUUUAACUUUAAUAUGUUGUCCCUCCAAAAAUCGUAACAUUUCAAAUAUAUCCCUGCCGUUAGAAUUCGUUAAAAAAAUUUAGUUAACCAUAGGUUAAAUAUUUAACCAUAGUUAGCCAAUGCGAUAACUUGAUAUUUUUACCCCUUUUAUAUUAUGCCUUCCUCUCUUAAUCAAAAUCCUAGUAAUAGAAACUUUUCUUCUUCUUCGUCUUCCUCUUCUUCUCUCUCCUUCAUAUUAGUUUCGAACUUAUCUUCAUUAAUCCACGACAGGUGUUGCUUCGCUCAUAUCAAACGCGUGUUGCUUGUUCAUUCUGUCGGAUCGUUGGCGCUAACCAUUAAUCUCAAAAGCUCGAGCUAUUAGAAAUACACAACCAAUUCACUUAAAGCGUACAGAUACAACGCCUACGGAUCUCGAUUGUGACUUGGUCCAACCAGCCUCACGCUAUUUUGAACAUGACUCGGCCUAUCCAACCUUACACCAUUUCGAACAUAACUCGGCACAAUAUGGUCUCCCGUCACAGAGCAAAAUGCUGGCCUAUUUAAAUCAAUAAUCUCCCUUCAAGCACCUGCAUAUAUUUGCAACAUGCGGGAAUUGAACCCAUGACCUCUGACUCUUAUACCACUUGUCGGAUUGUUGGCGCCAACCAUUAAUCCCAAAAGCUCGAGCUAUUAGAAAUACGCAACCAAUUCACUUAAAGCGUACAGAUACAAUGCCCACGGAUCUCACCACUUCAAACAUGACUCGGCUUACCUAGCCUCACGCAAUUUUGAACAUGAUUCGGACCAACAUGGCUUCCCGCCACAGGGCAGGAUGCUGGCCCAUUUAAACGAACACAUUCAAAUUCCUCUAUGAUUUUUUCUUUUUUUGCUAAAAAAAAAGAUUUAAGAGAAAAGGAGUAAGAAAAAAUGUUGCGACAAUGGUGGAAAGGUUGGAUUUUAAAAAGGAAGAAGAUGACCAUUGAAUUUUGUUAGAACUAAAACCGAAAAGAUCUAGUUCGUUGGGUGCGAAAAUAUAAAAAGAUCCGAGAAAGAGAGAAGAAAAAAUAAAGAACACAAUAUUACGUGGUCCGGCUAUCGGCCUACAUCCACGGGCGAAGACGAAGUGAAGAUCUUUAUUACAAUCAAAGUGAUGUACAAAAUAUGCCUCUCUCACAAAAUCCUAAUCCCAAAAAAUACACCCAUAUUCUCUCUCAUCUUCCGCACUAAACUAAUGGAAUAAAGGGUAUAUUUAUAAUAGUGGUUAAAUCUUAAUACAACUAGGAAUACAAACCCACUAAGGUUAAGAAUAUCUCAAUAAAAUUAGGCAUAAUCUAAACUUAACUUAAUGGGAUAAUCGAAUCAGAAUAGGGUUAGAAAAUCUUGCGGUACUAGAAUUCGAGACAUAUCUAACAAUCUCCAGCUUGGCUUGAAUUUUCUAUCUUCUCUACCAAAAUCCAAAAAGCUCCUAAAGUGCUACUGCACAUGAGAGCAAGUUUACGGAAUACUUGACCUUGAUCGCCGAAAAAACUUAAUGAGCAAAUCCGCGGGAUUCUCUGAAGUGCCAUCUUCUUAUUCUCCAACUACGCCUUUUGCAACCUUUGUUGCGUCAGAACGACAACUUGUCGUAGAGCGAAACUGCUGGAGCAAUCAAACUUCUCGAUCUCAAAUUCUUCGACGUCUUGAACAUCCAAACAGACACUCCGGCUCUGAUACCAGUUUGUUAGAACUAAAAUCGAAAAGAUCUAGUUCGUCGGGUGUAAAAAUACCAAAAGAGAAUCGUAAACGAUCGAAGAAAAAAUAGAGCACACAAUAUUACGUGGUUCGGCCAUUAGUCUACAUCCAUGGGCAAAGACAGAGCGAAGAUCUUCAUUAUAAUCAAAGUGGUGUACAAAAUAUGUCGUUCUCACAAAACCCUAAUUUCAAAAAUACACCGAUAUUCUCUCUCUCAUCUUCCGCACUAAACCAAUGAAAUAAAAGGUAUAUUUAUAAUAGUGGCUAAAUCCUAAUACAAGUAGGAAUACAAACCCACUAAGAUUAGGAAUAACUCAGUAAAAUUAGGCAUAAUUUAAACUUAACUUAAUGGGAUAAUCGAACCAGAAUAGGGUUAGAAAACUUUGCGAUACUAGAAUUCAAGACAUAUCUAACAAAUUUUUUUUGGGGAAUUGCAAGAUUAUAGUUGUUGUAGCUUUUGGAGGAACAUAUUUGUGAUGACAGAACGAUCAUAUCACUUAUUUGUUGUUAAAAAAAUAAAUGGUGCUUUAACGGUAACAAACUUGAGGGAUAUAUUUAAAAACAUCAGAACUUUUGCAGUGACAACAUAUGAAAUUAAAUUGAACUUUGUUGGUAUAUAUUUGUCUUUCAAUAUUUGCAGGGACCUGUAAGAAGUUAACCCUUGUAUUUAA